Molecule: ribosomal RNA, 1047 nt
Filed under: Triticum aestivum (bread wheat)
Lineage: Eukaryota; Viridiplantae; Streptophyta; Magnoliopsida; Poales; Poaceae
Description: partial small subunit ribosomal RNA
Source: RNAcentral
AUGGACGCACGGAUGAGGCUGAUAAUCCAGGCAGCAGCACUGAUUAGUGUGAUUCAGGUAUGGGUCAUGUUCAUGCACCAGAGAGCUGUUCGUCGUGCUGGGAGACCUUUGAUCCGCUAUGGUCCAUUGUUUCUCCGAAAACAGGAGAGGAUCCAAAAUCUGAACUACAUCUACAACUGCAAUGACGUCGAGGCUCUGUGGAUGCUUAGAAUGAAAAGAUCACCAUUUGCCAGGCUUGUCGAGACCUUCAGGAGAAGGGGGCUGCUACAAGAUAGCAUCAACACCAGUGUCGAAGAGCAAGUGGCCAUGUUCCUCCAUGUUGUUGGCCAUAACCAGAGGUUCAGGGUCAUUCACAAUACGUUCAGGAGAUCAAUGGAGACCAUCUCUAGGUACUUCAAGCAAGUGCUUUAUGCUAUUGGGGAGCUUAGAGGAGAGAUGAUCAAGAGACCAUCUGAUUGCAUUGGGACAAUAGAUGGUACUCAUGUCACUGCCAGAGUUCCUAGGUCACAGUCUGCAGCAUACAGGGGGAGGAACCACUACACAAGCCAGAAUGUGCUUGCUGCUGUUGACUUUGAUCUGAAGUUCACAUAUGUGUUGGCUGGCUGGGAGGGGUCAGCGCAUGAUGCUAACAUUCUCACUGACAACAUGAGUCGACCUGAUGGGAUCAACAUCCUCGACGGAAAGUUCUACCUUGAAGAUGCUGGCUAUGGAUGUCGGCCGGGUAUUCUUCCACCCUUCAGGAAAACAAGGUACCAUCUCAACGAGUUCUCUGGUAGGAACUAUCCUAGGACUGCACAUGAGCUGUUUAAUCUCAGACACUCCAGCCUUAGAGUAACUAUUGAGAAGGCAUUUGGAGAUCUGAAGAAUAGGUUUAAGAUCCUGGAUCAGAAGUCAUUCCACCCAUACUCCACUCAGGAAGAUGUCGAGCCUGACGAUGUUGUUAGCUCCGGCCAUGGUGUGGAGACAUUUGACAAUGACGCUUGGAAGAACAAAAGGUUGGAGUGGGCAGAGGCGAUGUGGCUUAACAGAGGUCAGUGCAGGAUUUGA